UCCUUUGUUGCCAGCACUACGGGUGGGAACUCAAAGGAGACUGCCGGUGAUAAACCGGAGGAAGGUGGGGAUGACGUCAAGUCAUCAUGGCCCUUACGAGUAGGGCUACACACGGGCUACAAUGGCGUAUACAAAGAGAAGCAAACUCGCGAGAGCCAGCGGACCUCAUAAAGUACGUCGUAGUCCGGAUUGGAGUCUGCAACUCGACUCCAUGAAGUCGGAAUCGCUAGUAAUCGUAGAUCAGAAUGCUA
This 251-nucleotide ribosomal RNA is filed under the name Rahnella aquatilis. RNAcentral's name for it is "partial 16S ribosomal RNA". It matches the Rfam family "Bacterial small subunit ribosomal RNA", at positions 1108 to 1359 of the family's 1533-position model. Lineage: Bacteria; Pseudomonadati; Pseudomonadota; Gammaproteobacteria; Enterobacterales; Yersiniaceae. The record is from RNAcentral.